RNAcentral lists this ribosomal RNA (413 nucleotides) under Escherichia coli. Its description in RNAcentral is "partial 23S ribosomal RNA". It matches the Rfam family "Bacterial large subunit ribosomal RNA", at positions 106 to 559 of the family's 2925-position model. The record is from RNAcentral. Lineage: Bacteria; Pseudomonadati; Pseudomonadota; Gammaproteobacteria; Enterobacterales; Enterobacteriaceae.
GGCGAUUUCCGAAUGGGGAAACCCAGUGUGAUUCGUCACACUAUCAUUAACUGAAUCCAUAGGUUAAUGAGGCGAACCGGGGGAACUGAAACAUCUAAGUACCCCGAGGAAAAGAAAUCAACCGAGAUUCCCCCAGUAGCGGCGAGCGAACGGGGAGCAGCCCAGAGCCUGAAUCAGUGUGUGUGUUAGUGGAAGCGUCUGGAAAGGCGCGCGAUACAGGGUGACAGCCCCGUACACAAAAAUGCACAUGCUGUGAGCUCGAUGAGUAGGGCGGGACACGUGGUAUCCUGUCUGAAUAUGGGGGGACCAUCCUCCAAGGCUAAAUACUCCUGACUGACCGAUAGUGAACCAGUACCGUGAGGGAAAGGCGAAAAGAACCCCGGCGAGGGGAGUGAAAAAGAACCUGAAACCGU